GUUGGAGGCAGGAAACAAAAAGAAAAAAAAACCAAAAUGUUGAAAUGCAACACCAAGAUCCAGAACAAGCUAUAUGUGACAGUGGACAAGGUGGUUUCCAUGGAGACGUCUAUG
Long non-coding RNA from Thamnophis elegans (Western terrestrial garter snake), 114 nucleotides. RefSeq lists it as uncharacterized. Lineage: Eukaryota; Metazoa; Chordata; Lepidosauria; Squamata; Natricidae. The transcript is spliced from 2 exons. The record is from RefSeq and is a predicted model, not a curated record.